This 476-nucleotide ribosomal RNA is filed under the name uncultured organism. Its description in RNAcentral is "partial 16S ribosomal RNA". It matches the Rfam family "Bacterial small subunit ribosomal RNA", at positions 333 to 800 of the family's 1533-position model. The record is from RNAcentral.
ACACUCCUGCGGGAGGCAGCAGUGGGGAAUUUUGGACAAUGGGCGAAAGCCUGAUCCAGCAAUGCCGCGUGAGUGAAGAAGGCCUUCGGGUUGUAAAGCUCUUUUGUCAGGGAAGAAACGGUGAAAGCUAAUAUCUUUUGCUAAUGACGGUACCUGAAGAAUAAGCACCGGCUAACUACGUGCCAGCAGCCGCGGUAAUACGUAGGGUGCAAGCGUUAAUCGGAAUUACUGGGCGUAAAGCGUGCGCAGGCGGUUUUGUAAGUCUGAUGUGAAAUCCCCGGGCUCAACCUGGGAAUUGCAUUGGAGACUGCAAGGCUAGAAUCUGGCAGAGUGGGGUAGAAUUCCACGUGUAGCAGUGAAAUGCGUAGAUAUGUGGAGGAACACCGAUGGCGAAGGCAGCCCCCUGGGUCAAGAUUGACGCUCAUGCACGAAAGCGUGGGGAGCAAACAGGAUUAGAAACCCCUGUAGUCCCAUGA